CAUUAGAUAACUAAAUUUAAGUGUUGGUCUCUUAAACCUAUAAUAGUAAGCCAUUCUAAUUACUUCUAAUGA
This 72-nucleotide transfer RNA is filed under the name Goera martynowi. RNAcentral describes it as "tRNA-Lys". The record is from RNAcentral. Lineage: Eukaryota; Metazoa; Arthropoda; Insecta; Trichoptera; Goeridae.